CAUGUCCUUUUGAAUGUUUAUUUAAGGUCUGACCUGCCCACUGAGUAUUUAAAGGGCCGCGGUAUUUUAACCGUGCUAAGGUAGCAUAAUCAUUUGUCUUUUAAUUAAGGGCUUGAAUGAAUGGUUGGACGAGAUAUUAGCUUUCUUUAAUUCAUAAUUUUGAAUUUAAUUUUUUAGUUAAAAAGCUAAAAAUAAUUUUAAGGGACGAGAAGACCCUAUAGAUCUUUAUAAUUUUAUAAUUUUAUAAUUUAGGGAGUUAAUUAAAUUGGAAUUAAAGUAAUUAUUUUGUUGGGGUGACUAUAGAAUUAAUUGAACUUCUAUUCAAAUUAUUCAUUAAUUAGUGUUUUUUUGAUCCAUUAAUAAUGGUUACAAGAUUAAGUUACCUUAGGGAUAACAGCGUAAUUUUUUCGGAGAGUUCAUAUCGAUGAAGGGGAUUGCGACCUCGAUGUUGGAUUAAAGUAAGUGAAGGGUGUAGUUUUUCUUUAACUAGGUCUGUUCGACCUUUAAAUCUUUACAUGAUCUG
RNAcentral lists this ribosomal RNA (523 nucleotides) under Gerbelius sp. 00052219. RNAcentral's name for it is "partial 16S ribosomal RNA". It matches the Rfam family "Bacterial large subunit ribosomal RNA", at positions 1816 to 2607 of the family's 2925-position model. The record is from RNAcentral. Lineage: Eukaryota; Metazoa; Arthropoda; Insecta; Hemiptera; Reduviidae.